This 490-nucleotide ribosomal RNA is filed under the name uncultured bacterium. RNAcentral describes it as "partial 16S ribosomal RNA". It matches the Rfam family "Bacterial small subunit ribosomal RNA", at positions 30 to 507 of the family's 1533-position model. The record is from RNAcentral.
AUUGAACGCUGGCGGCAGGCCUAACACAUGCAAGUCGAACGGUAACAGGAAGCAGCUUGCUGCUUUGCUGACGAGUGGCGGACGGGUGAGUAAUGUCUGGGAAACUGCCCGAUGGAGGGGGAUAACUACUGGAAACGGUAGCUAAUACCGCAUAACGUCGCAAGACCAAAGAGGGGGACCUUAGGGCCUCUUGCCAUCGGAUGUGCCCAGAUGGGAUUAGCUAGUAGGUGGGGUAACGGCUCACCUAGGCGACGAUCCCUAGCUGGUCUGAGAGGAUGACCAGCCACACUGGAACUGGGACACGGUCCAGACUCCUACGGGAGGCAGCAGUGGGGAAUAUUGCACAAUGGGCGCAAGCCUGAUGCAGCCAUGCCGCGUGUAUGAAGAAGGCCUUCGGGUUGUAAAGUACUUUCAGCGGGGAGGAAGGGAGUAAAGUUAAUACCUUUGCUCAUUGACGUUACCCGCAGAAGAAGCACCGGCUAACUCCGUG